This 319-nucleotide long non-coding RNA is filed under the name Coffea arabica (coffee). Its description in RNAcentral is "long non-coding RNA (CARA_LNC002312)". Lineage: Eukaryota; Viridiplantae; Streptophyta; Magnoliopsida; Gentianales; Rubiaceae. The record is from RNAcentral.
CAGGAACGGGUUCCAAAUUGCGGACCUUUGGUACGUGGAGCAGAGGAGAGAGUGUGCAGUGAAGCAGAGCUUCUUCCUCUCAAUCAACUUUUUACAGGAACGGGUUCCAAAUUGCGGACCUUUGGUACGUGGAGCAGAGGAGAGAGUGUGCAGUGAAGCAGAGCUUCUUCCUCUCAAUCAUGCUUAGUCCGAUAUACCACAGAUCUUGUUACAGAAAAUCUUUUUAUUUUUGUAUUUUUCUUGUUCUUCUAAUUUUUGUCUUUCUAUUAAUUUUAAUUCAGAGUAUCUAUGCCAAAGUAAAUCUACUUUUGCUUGUCUU